This 253-nucleotide ribosomal RNA is filed under the name uncultured bacterium. RNAcentral's name for it is "partial 16S ribosomal RNA". It matches the Rfam family "Bacterial small subunit ribosomal RNA", at positions 524 to 776 of the family's 1533-position model. The record is from RNAcentral.
UACGUAGGGGGCUAGCGUUGUCCGGAAUCAUUGGGCGUAAAGAGCGCGUAGGCGGCCAGAUAAGUCCGGUGUGAAAGUCAAAGGCUCAACCUUUGAAUGCCGCUGGAAACUGUCUGGCUAGAGUCCGGGAGGGGCGAGUGGAAUUCCUGGUGUAGCGGUGAAAUGCGCAGAUAUCAGGAGGAACACCAAUGGCGAAGGCGGCUCACUGGCCCGGUACUGACGCUGAGGUGCGAAAGCGUGGGGAGCAAACAGG